Molecule: transfer RNA, 72 nt
Filed under: Mustela putorius furo (domestic ferret)
Lineage: Eukaryota; Metazoa; Chordata; Mammalia; Carnivora; Mustelidae
Rfam family: tRNA
About the family: Transfer RNA (tRNA) molecules are approximately 80 nucleotides in length. Their secondary structure includes four short double-helical elements and three loops (D, anti-codon, and T loops).
Source: Rfam by way of RNAcentral
ACCUGGUUGGCUCAUUUGGUAGAGCAGGCGAUUCUUAAUCUCAGGGUCAUGAGUUCAAACCCACACUAGGUA